CAGAGAACAAAUCAGGAUCUAGAAAGAGACGAAGAAUAGUACUAUCACAGUCAGAUCCAUCUUCCAAACCCCAAACAUUAUUAGCCAACAAUAUCCGUAACCCCAAAUCAGAGGCCCAAAUCAAGUAUUCCACACCAGAUCAUAAGCCCGAAUUCGUCGACGACGAUGGAGAGAAGAUGGUGACUUGCAGCUCAAAUUCGUCGUUUCAGAAGAAAUAAGUCGAGGUUAUUGGACACACCGGAGCAAGAUGGAAGAUCAAUUCGUCAUUUAGAAGAAAUUGUUAAUGGAUUUAUUGAGGAAUUGCCGGAUCGGUUGAGGAAGAGGAGAUGUAAU
RNAcentral lists this long non-coding RNA (333 nucleotides) under Panax ginseng (ginseng). Its description in RNAcentral is "long non-coding RNA (PGIN_LNC016607)". Lineage: Eukaryota; Viridiplantae; Streptophyta; Magnoliopsida; Apiales; Araliaceae. The record is from RNAcentral.